Molecule: ribosomal RNA, 577 nt
Filed under: uncultured bacterium
Lineage: Bacteria
Description: bacterial SSU rRNA
Rfam family: Bacterial small subunit ribosomal RNA
Source: RNAcentral
CCUACGGGAGGCAGCAGUGAGGAAUAUUGGUCAAUGGACGGAAGUCUGAACCAGCCAAGUAGCGUGCAGGAUGACGGCCCUAUGGGUUGUAAACUGCUUUUGUAUGGGGAUAAAGUCAAUCACGUGUGAUUGUUUGCAGGUACCAUACGAAUAAGGACCGGCUAAUUCCGUGCCAGCAGCCGCGGUAAUACGGAAGGUCCAGGCGUUAUCCGGAUUUAUUGGGUUUAAAGGGAGCGUAGGCCGGAGAUUAAGUGUGUUGUGAAAUGUAGACGCUCAACGUCUGACUUGCAGCGCAUACUGGUUUCCUUGAGUACGCACAACGUUGGCGGAAUUCGUCGUGUAGCGGUGAAAUGCUUAGAUAUGACGAAGAACUCCGAUUGCGAAGGCAGCUGACGGGAGCGCAACUGACGCUUAAGCUCGAAGGUGCGGGUAUCGAACAGGAUUAGAUACCCUGGUAGUCCGCACAGUAAACGAUGGAUGCCCGCUGUUGGUACCUGGUAUCAGCGGCUAAGCGAAAGCAUUAAGCACUCCGCCUGGGGAGUACGACCGCAAGGUUGAAACUCAAAGGAAUUGACGG